RNAcentral lists this ribosomal RNA (525 nucleotides) under uncultured bacterium. RNAcentral describes it as "partial 16S ribosomal RNA". It matches the Rfam family "Bacterial small subunit ribosomal RNA", at positions 355 to 871 of the family's 1533-position model. The record is from RNAcentral.
UAGGGAAUCUUCCACAAUGGACGCAAGUCUGAUGGAGCAACGCCGCGUGAGUGAAGAAGGCUUUCGGGUCGUAAAACUCUGUUAUUGAAGAAGAACGUGUGUGACAGUAACUGGUCAUGCAGUGACGGUAUUCAAUCAGAAAGUCACGGCUAACUACGUGCCAGCAGCCGCGGUAAUACGUAGGUGGCAAGCGUUGUCCGGAUUUAUUGGGCGUAAAGCGAGUGCAGGCGGUCUUUUAAGUCUGAUGUGAAAGCCUUCGGCUUAACCGAAGAAGGGCAUCGGAAACUGGGAGACUUGAGUGCAGAAGAGGAGAGUGGAACUCCAUGUGUAGCGGUGAAAUGCGUAGAUAUAUGGAAGAACACCAGUGGCGAAGGCGGCUCUCUGGUCUGUAACUGACGCUGAGGCUCGAAAGCGUGGGUAGCAAACAGGAUUAGAUACCCUGGUAGUCCACGCCGUAAAUGAUGAAUACUAAGUGUUGGAGGGUUUCCGCCCUUCAGUGCUGCAGCUAACGCAUUAAGUAUUCCG